Molecule: ribosomal RNA, 427 nt
Filed under: uncultured bacterium
Lineage: Bacteria
Description: partial 16S ribosomal RNA
Rfam family: Bacterial small subunit ribosomal RNA
Source: RNAcentral
UGGGGAAUAUUGGACAAUGGGCGAAAGCCUGAUCCAGCCAUGCCGCGUGUGUGAAGAAGGUCUUCGGAUUGUAAAGCACUUUAAGUUGGGAGGAAGGGCAUUAACCUAAUACGUUAGUGUUUUGACGUUACCGACAGAAUAAGCACCGGCUAACUCUGUGCCAGCAGCCGCGGUAAUACAGAGGGUGCAAGCGUUAAUCGGAAUUACUGGGCGUAAAGCGCGCGUAGGUUGUCUGUUAAGUUGGAUGUGAAAGCCCCGGGCUCAACCUGGGAACUGCAUCCAAAACUGGCAAGCUAGAGUACGGUAGAGGGUGGUGGAAUUUCCUGUGUAGCGGUGAAAUGCGUAGAUAUAGGAAGGAACACCAGUGGCGAAGGCGACCACCUGGACUGAUACUGACACUGAGGUGCGAAAGCGUGGGGAGCAAACA